This 373-nucleotide ribosomal RNA is filed under the name uncultured organism. RNAcentral's name for it is "bacterial SSU rRNA". It matches the Rfam family "Bacterial small subunit ribosomal RNA", at positions 526 to 896 of the family's 1533-position model. The record is from RNAcentral.
CGUAGGAGGCGAGCGUUAUCCGGAUUCACUGGGCGUAAAGCGCGUGCAGGUGGCUCGGUAAGUUGGGCGUGAAAUCUCCCGGCUCAACUGGGAGAGGUCGUUCAAUACUACCGAGCUUGAGAGCAGAAGAGGAAGAUGGAAUUCCCGGUGUAGUGGUGAAAAUGCGUAGAUAUCGGGAGGAACACCAGUGGCGAAGGCGAUCUUCUGGUCUGUUUCUGACACUCAGACGCGACAGCUAGGGUAGUAAACGGGAUUAGAGACCCCGGUAAUCCUAGCCGUAAACGAUGUGAACUUGGCGUUGGUGGGUUAAACUCCAUCAGUGCCGAAGCAAACGCGAUAAGUUCACCGCCUGGGGACUACGGCCGCAAGGUUA